GGUGAACGCUGGCGGCGUGCUUGACACAUGCAAGUCGAACGGUAUGUGGCAACACAUAGAGUGGCGAACGGGUGAGUAAUACGUGGGAACGUACCUUCUGCAGGGGGAUAACUGACCGAAAGGACAGCUAAUACCGCAUAAGACCGAGAGGAGAAAGGUGCAACAGCAUCGGCAGAGGAGCGGCCCGCGGACCAUCAGCUAGUUGGUGGGGUAAGAGCCUACCAAGGCAACGACGGAUAGCCGGCGUGAGAGCGUGGCCGGCCACAAGGACACUGAGAUACGGGUCCUACUCCUACGGGAGGCAGCAGUGCGGAAUUUUAGAUAAUGGAGGCAACUCUGAUCUAGCGACGCCGCGUGCAGGAAGAAGGUCUUCGGAUUGUAAACUGCUGUGGUAAGGGAAAAAUGCCAUGUAGAGUGGAAAGCUACAUGGAGGGAUGGUACUUUACUAGAAAGCCCCGGCUAACUACGUGCCAGCAGCCGCGGUAAUACGUAGGGGGCGAGCGUUACCCGGAAUCACUGGGCGUAAAGGGAGCGUAGGUGGCCUGACAUGUCGACUGUGAAAACCCGGAGCUCAACUCCGGACUUGCAGUUGAAACUGCCAGGCUUGAGGACGGUAGAGGAAGACGGAACUGCCAGUGUAGGGGUAAAAUCCUUAGAUAUUGGCAGGAACGCCGGUGACGAAGGUGGUUUUCUGGGCCGGUUCUGACACUGAUGCUCGAAAGCCAGGGGAGCGAACGGGAUUAGAUACCCCGGUAGUCCUGGCCCUAAACGAUGUUCACUAGGUGUGGGGAGCGGAAAGCUUUCCGUGCUAAAGCUAACGCGAUAAGUGAACCGCCUGGGGAGUACGCCCGCAAGGGUGAAACUCAAGGAUUGACGGGGCCCGCACAAGCGGUGGAGCGUGUGGUUUAAUUCGAUGCUAGCGAGACCUUACCAGGUUUGACAUGCUGAUA
Molecule: ribosomal RNA, 950 nt
Filed under: uncultured bacterium
Lineage: Bacteria
Description: bacterial SSU rRNA
Rfam family: Bacterial small subunit ribosomal RNA
Source: RNAcentral